RNAcentral lists this ribosomal RNA (834 nucleotides) under uncultured bacterium. Its description in RNAcentral is "bacterial SSU rRNA". It matches the Rfam family "Bacterial small subunit ribosomal RNA", at positions 55 to 904 of the family's 1533-position model. The record is from RNAcentral.
AUGCAGUCGAACGAGAGAGAGGGAGCUUGCUUCCUCGAUCGAGUGGCGAACGGGUGAGUAACGCGUGAGGAACCUGCCUCAAAGAGGGGGACAACAGUUGGAAACGACUGCUAAUACCGCAUAAGCCCACGGCUCGGCAUCGAGCAGAGGGAAAAGGAGCAAUCCGCUUUGAGAUGGCCUCGCGUCCGAUUAGCUAGUUGGUGAGGUAACGGCCCACCAAGGCGACGAUCGGUAGCCGGACUGAGAGGUUGAACGGCCACAUUGGGACUGAGACACGGCCCAGACUCCUACGGGAGGCAGCAGUGGGGAAUAUUGCACAAUGGGGGAAACCCUGAUGCAGCGACGCCGCGUGGAGGAAGAAGGUCUUCGGAUUGUAAACUCCUGUUGUUGAGGAAGAUAAUGACGGUACUCAACAAGGAAGUGACGGCUAACUACGUGCCAGCAGCCGCGGUAAAACGUAGGUCACAAGCGUUGUCCGGAAUUACUGGGUGUAAAGGGAGCGCAGGCGGGCGAUCAAGUUGGAAGUGAAAUCCAUGGGCUCAACCCAUGAACUGCUUUCAAAACUGAUUGUCUUGAGUAGUGCAGAGGUAGGCGGAAUUCCCGGUGUAGCGGUGGAAUGCGUAGAUAUCGGGAGGAACACCAGUGGCGAAGGCGGCCUACUGGGCACCAACUGACGCUGAGGCUCGAAAGUGUGGGUAGCAAACAGGAUUAGAUACCCUGGUAGUCCACACCGUAAACGAUGAUUACUAGGUGUUGGAGGAUUGACCCCUUCAGUGCCGCAGUUAACACAAUAAGUAAUCCACCUGGGGAGUACGACCGCAGGUUGAAACUCAA